AGUGAACGCUGGCGGUAGGCCUAACACAUGCAAGUCGAACGGCAGCACAGUAAGAGCUUGCUCUUACGGGUGGCGAGUGGCGGACGGGUGAGGAAUACAUCGGAAUCUACUUUUUCGUGGGGGAUAACGUAGGGAAACAUACGCUAAUACCGCAUACGACCUACGGGUGAAAGCAGGGGAUCUUCGGACCUUGCGCGAUUGAAUGAGCCGAUGUCGGAUUAGCUAGUUGGCGGGGUAAAGGCCCACCAAGGCGACGAUCCGUAGCUGGUCUGAGAGGAUGAUCAGACACACUGGAACUGAGACACGGUCCAGACUCCUACGGGAGGCAGCAGUGGGGAAUAUUGGACAAUGGGCGCAAGCCUGAUCCAGCCAUACCGCGUGGGUGAAGAAGGCCUUCGGGUUGUAAAGCCCUUUUGUUGGGAAAGAAAAGCAGCAGGUUAAUACCCCGCUGUUCUGACGGUACCCAAAGAAUAAGCACCGGCUAACUUCGUG
This 492-nucleotide ribosomal RNA is filed under the name uncultured bacterium. Its description in RNAcentral is "partial 16S ribosomal RNA". It matches the Rfam family "Bacterial small subunit ribosomal RNA", at positions 29 to 507 of the family's 1533-position model. The record is from RNAcentral.